GCCUCGGUGGCGAAACUGGUAGACGCAGCAGACUCAAAAUCUGCCAUUCGCAAGGAUGUGCCGGUUCGAUUCCGGCCCGGGGCACAA
RNAcentral lists this transfer RNA (87 nucleotides) under Chitinophagaceae bacterium. RNAcentral's name for it is "tRNA-Leu". It matches the Rfam family "tRNA". From Rfam's summary of the family: Transfer RNA (tRNA) molecules are approximately 80 nucleotides in length. The record is from RNAcentral. Lineage: Bacteria; Pseudomonadati; Bacteroidota; Chitinophagia; Chitinophagales; Chitinophagaceae.